This 156-nucleotide ribosomal RNA is filed under the name Saturnispora zaruensis. RNAcentral's name for it is "5.8S ribosomal RNA". It matches the Rfam family "5.8S ribosomal RNA". From Rfam's summary of the family: 5.8S ribosomal RNA (5.8S rRNA) is a component of the large subunit of the eukaryotic ribosome. It is transcribed by RNA polymerase I as part of the 45S precursor that also contains 18S and 28S rRNA. Lineage: Eukaryota; Fungi; Ascomycota; Pichiomycetes; Pichiales; Pichiaceae. The record is from RNAcentral.
AAACUUUCAACAACGGAUCUCUUGGCUCUCGCACCGAUGAAGAGCGCAGCGAAAUGCGAUAACUAAUGUGAAUUGCAGGCAUCGUGAAUCAUCGAGUUCUUGAACGCACAUUGCGCCCUGUGGUAUUCCGCAGGGCAUGCCUGUUUGAGCGUCAGU